Molecule: ribosomal RNA, 508 nt
Filed under: uncultured bacterium
Lineage: Bacteria
Description: bacterial SSU rRNA
Rfam family: Bacterial small subunit ribosomal RNA
Source: RNAcentral
UAGUUGUACAGUGCGCGAGAGACGCGUGCGGCGGCGGAGUUAGUACGAUGCAGUACGACGGACGAUCAUCCUUUCGGGGGUGAGAGAGUGGCGAACUGGUGAGUAACACGUAGGUUAUCUACCCUCAAGACGGGGACAACCCAGGGAAACUUGGGCUAAUACCGGAUGUGAGCAACUUUUAGUGUUUGAAAGGUGGCGUAAGCUGCGUUCUUGGGGAUGAGCCUGCGUCCUAUUAGUUAGUUGGUGAGGUAACGGCUCACCUAGGCAAUGAUAGGUAGGCGGCCUUAACGGGUGGUCGCCCACACUGGGAUUGAGAUACGGCCCAGACUCCUACGGGAGGCAGCAGUCGAGAAUAGUCUACAAUGGUCGGAAGACUGAUAGUGCGACGCCGCGUGAACGAUGAAUCCCUUCGGGGUGUAAAGUUCUUUUAUAUGUGAGCAGUGCUUCUUAUAUUAACAGUAUGGGGAGAGAGAUAUUAGCAUAUGAAUAAGCAACGGCUAACUCCGUG